This 343-nucleotide non-coding RNA is filed under the name Serratia plymuthica. The record is from RNAcentral. Lineage: Bacteria; Pseudomonadati; Pseudomonadota; Gammaproteobacteria; Enterobacterales; Yersiniaceae.
GAUACGGUGGAGCAGGAAAGCAUCAGGAUGAUGCAGCUUCAGGAAGAGGAAAUGGAUGCGCUCAGUGAAGAGCGAAGGACGGCGUCAGGAGAUGCCAAGGAUGUUUCAGGAUUGAAACCAGGGACACCUCCAGGAUGGAGAUUGAGAGCCGGCAAAGGAGGGUUGGCGGGUCAUGAAGACUAAGGAACCGCGUCAGGACGAUGCUACAGGAUAGAGCAAGGACGGUUGGGUCAGGAUGGCCGCAGGAAAAGUUUUCAAGGAUUGAGCAGGGAGCACACUGUGUAGCGGGACAGCUAUAAAACGAACCGGGGGCACUGUUAACGCAGUGCCCCCAACUUUUUAU